Molecule: ribosomal RNA, 805 nt
Filed under: uncultured archaeon
Lineage: Archaea
Description: bacterial SSU rRNA
Rfam family: Archaeal small subunit ribosomal RNA
Source: RNAcentral
UCCUGCCGGAUACUGCUAUCGAGGUUCGACUAAGCCAUGCGAGUCGAAUGUAGCAAUACAUGUCAGUAACACGUGGACAACCUGCCCUUAGGUUGGGUACGGUAAACCCGGGAAACUGGCGUAUAAUACCCGAUAGGUCUCGAUUGCCGGUGGAAGCAUCGAGAUUUAAAGCUCCGGCGCCUAAGGAUGCGGCCUAUCAGGUAGUAGUGGGUGUAGCGUACCUACUAGCCACUUUACGACCGGGGUACGGGUUGUGAGAGCAAGAGCCCGGAGAGAUUCUGAGACACGAAUCCAGACCCUACGGGGUGCAGCAGGCGCGAAAUACAAUGUGGCAACAGCGAUAAGGGAACGGCCUCGAGUGCCAGGUUACAUGGGUCGAGAUGCCUAAAAAGCAUUUCAUAGCAAGGGCCCAAGACCGGUGCCCCGCCGCGGUAACACCGGCGGCUCGAGUGGUAACCGUUAUUAUUGGGUCUAAAGGACUUGUCUGUAGCCCAAGUCUCUUGAGAAAUCUGGCAGCUUAACUUUUCAGGAGAUACUGUCUGGCUCGGGCGGCCGGGAGAGGUGAGAGGUACUUCAGGCGGGGUAGGGGUGAAAUCUUGUAAUCCUUGAAGGACCACCAGUGGCGAAGGCGUCUCACCAGAACGGACCUGACGGCAAGGGACGAAAGCACGAACCGGAUUAGAUACCCGGGUAGUCCUAGCCGUAAACGAUACUCGCUAGUGUCGGCCACGGUGCGACCGUUGUCGGUGCCGUAGGGAAGCCGUGAAGCGACUUAGCCACCUGGGAAGUACGGCCGCAAGGCUGA